AAGUCGUAACAAGGUUUCCGUAGGUGAACCUGCGGAAGGAUCAUUAAAAGUGAUUGGUUAUGACAUUUCAUGUUAUCAACUGCAAUUUAACCCCAAUUUCCAGCAUGUCACCUUGCCUCGUUUGCCUUUGCCUAUGGGGUCCCAUGGCACCUCAGGUGCACUCUUGUGAUGUGAAACCCAAGAGAGUCCCCAUGGGAGGUAAUCAUUAAAUUCAUGUAUCCAAUGUCUUCUGUCUGAACUGUUUAUAACAAAUGUUAAAA
This 260-nucleotide unclassified non-coding RNA is filed under the name plant metagenome. RNAcentral's name for it is "partial contains small subunit ribosomal RNA and internal transcribed spacer 1". The stretch from base 1 to 46 matches the Rfam family "Eukaryotic small subunit ribosomal RNA", at positions 1786 to 1831 of the family's 1831-position model. The record is from RNAcentral.